Molecule: ribosomal RNA, 392 nt
Filed under: Escherichia coli
Lineage: Bacteria; Pseudomonadati; Pseudomonadota; Gammaproteobacteria; Enterobacterales; Enterobacteriaceae
Description: partial 23S ribosomal RNA
Rfam family: Bacterial large subunit ribosomal RNA
Source: RNAcentral
GGUUCCUGUCCAACGUUAAUCGGGGCAGGGUGAGUCGACCCCUAAGGCGAGGCCGAAAGGCGUAGUCGAUGGGAAACAGGUUAAUAUUCCUGUACUUGGUGUUACUGCGAAGGGGGGACGGAGAAGGCUAUGUUGGCCGGGCGACGGUUGUCCCGGUUUAAGCGUGUAGGCUGGUUUUCCAGGCAAAUCCGGAAAAUCAAGGCUGAGGCGUGAUGACGAGGCACUACGGUGCUGAAGCAACAAAUGCCCUGCUUCCAGGAAAAGCCUCUAAGCAUCAGGUAACAUCAAAUCGUACCCCAAACCGACACAGGUGGUCAGGUAGAGAAUACCAAGGCGCUUGAGAGAACUCGGGUGAAGGAACUAGGCAAAAUGGUGCCGUAACUUCGGGAGAA